UUUGGUAAAUCUAGCUCGUAGCUAUUCUUGUUUCCCUACAAGCUCUCUCACAAACGAACCUGUUUUUGAGAUUAAUGUUUGGUUUGGGUUUUGUAUUAGUCAAUUCGUACAAAGGAACAACCUAAGACCAAAGUUCAAACUUCAGGUAUCCGAUCCUCAUUCGGUGAGGAAUCCACACUAGCUCAGACAACUAACCAAGUGGACCAAUCUCCAUCAGCUAGUUCUUUCUUAUCUAACAAAUUAUCUCAGUCUCUCAAUGCUAUGGUAAAAUUUCAUUCAGCGCUGUUCAUCUUUCAGUGGUCAUCUUAUAAGGACAGUGUUGUAAUGCCAUUUUCAGUGCUACAUCACUCAAACCAGUCACUCCUGCAUUUCCAUCCGACACACCAACCAAUCUUAGAAAAGACAAAAGCUACAGAGGACGACGGUUCCAUUCUCGAUUCAUCUUCGAUUCUUCACCGAUCGCAACUUGCUGCCUGAAUUCUGCUGAGAUACCAGGAUGAGGAGGAGUGUUCGUCGUGCUGGCAAAGUGCAGAGGAAGAGAACCCAGGUGACGCGGAGGACUCGAUGGGGUUUCGUCGGCGGCUGAGAAAAGAAUACGUAGUUGAGGAACAGAACCCUAGUGAUGCGGAGGACUUGACGGCGUUUCGUCGGCGGCCGGCAAAAGAACACGUAGUGGAAGAGACAAGCCCUGAGGAGAGUCCUGAUGAACGAUACUCGAGCCAACGCCACAACUGUAAUUCAUAAUUGGAGUACCUUUUUCUGGUGAGGGAUGUGUUUGAAGGUAUUGGCGAGAUGGAACAGCUUUUGGGGUCGUGCUUUGGAAACCUUUCCAGGUUGCCAGUGAGGAGGUGUGAUUUGGGUACAUGUUUACGUGUACAUGUGUUCUGCUAGGUUGUACAUGCGUACAAUGUUUUAUAUGUACAUGUGUACGCGGCUGUAAACUGGUACAUGGGUGACAUUUUUUUCUUGUACAUGUGGUUGUGUAAACUUUGUACGCCCUGAUUUUUUAACAAGUUCUGAUGUUUUUUAUGUUGCAUGUGUAUGUAUUG
Molecule: long non-coding RNA, 1049 nt
Organism: Raphanus sativus (radish)
Lineage: Eukaryota; Viridiplantae; Streptophyta; Magnoliopsida; Brassicales; Brassicaceae
Exons: 5
Source: RefSeq, a predicted model, not a curated record